RNAcentral lists this non-coding RNA (29 nucleotides) under Rattus norvegicus (Norway rat). The record is from RNAcentral. Lineage: Eukaryota; Metazoa; Chordata; Mammalia; Rodentia; Muridae.
UCCCCAACCACUUGGGAGGUGACAUGGCC